RNAcentral lists this non-coding RNA (25 nucleotides) under Phytophthora citricola. The record is from RNAcentral. Lineage: Eukaryota; Oomycota; Peronosporomycetes; Peronosporales; Peronosporaceae.
GGGAAUAAUACUAGAAUUGACAUUU